AUGUUCACUGCUGUCUGUACCUCUACUUAAUUACUCUCUUGUAGUGAAUUUGCUUCCUCUGUCCUCUGAUCUACAUAAUGAGUUAAAGAUAACCUCUGAGACCUGUAUAAGGUCUCUUCCAUUGCGGUGCCUGUUCCCCUUUCCAAUUCUUCUUAGAGGUGUAACUGGUUAUUAAAACAAGCUGGAAUCUUUUUUUUUCCUUUAAUGGCUAAUUAGACACCAAGGAACUUUCUAACUCACAAAGACAACAAAGCAAAUGAUCCUGGACAUACUGCAUUUUGUCACAAAUGUCUUAAUGUCACCAAAUGCAAGAUACAUAUAAACUGUGAUUUUGUACAAAUUGAUUCACAUUAUCUCUAUUUUCAAACAGUUAAGUUCAAUCAAAUAUGUGGUCCUAUCACUUGAAAUGUUGCAGUUAACCCUUACUGCAAAUCUGUGACUCACUGCCAUAAGAGGGAAAAAAAAGUGUGAUUUAUUCAUUGAAAAUGCUGUGUAGACAAACUUAUUCCUAUGAAAGGAUUUCUGUUAUAUUCAUCAUUCUUGACAUUCUGGUUCACAUUUUCCUUAUAUUUCACAAAACAAGGAUAUUACUUUUGUUCCUCACCUUGACCAUUUAACAUUAGUAUAGAAGAUGAAGGCUGACUCUGCUUUUCCUUAGCCUUGUGGGUCUAGAAUUUCACUUUAUAUUUUUAGGCUUAUAUAGUAGAAGUGCUCCCAGGUAAAGAAUGGCCCAUCUACUUUAGGUGCCAGCCAAGAUGGAUGGCUUGUCUUUGAUGAUAUAUACUUUUUCAAGUCAAUUGAGUAUCUGAUUAAUUGAAGAGGGAAAAUUAUUGUAAAAAUUGCUACCAUGCCAUUUAUUCUCUUUCUGUGUUACGUGACUUGCCUUUAUGAGAAUAAUAUUUUUGAUUUGAUUUCUACCUGUGUUGUUUUGGCUGUAACAUUACUUCUGAGACAUUUUGAUUCCACAGAAACUGGGAUUCGAUGUAUAAGAUAAACGGCAGGAAGAAAUCACUUAGGCUAUAGGAAAUAAAUAUCAAUAUAUAUGAUAAAUCAAAUUAAGAAUGUUAAUAGGGUCAGUAUGAUAUAAAGCUGCUUAUUUAUGUUAUGUAAUUAUUGAUACAUAUAAUUAUAAAAGUAAAGGUAAAUAUAUAAAGAGAAGUCCAAGUAGCGUGUGUAUUGUGUUUAUCUCAUGCAUACCUACACAUAUCCACAACUUCAUCUCCAUGAGACAGUGCUUCCUUCUCUACUUGGUCCUAAAAGCCAAGAAAAAAGCCUCACAUGUCAAUCAAUAAUUAGUCAAUACAUGAGGGAACUUACAAUUUUGUAAUAACUUUUCCAAAGUUUUCAGCUUACACUUAAAAAAAAUUAAAAGAAUAAAAUUUUCACAACUGAAAAUUAACUUUGAUACUAAGAUGAAGAUUUUUAAAAAACAUUUUCUCUCUAAUCCUAAUUUAAUAUUGGGUUUAUAUAGUUCCUUUUGAUACUAUCUCACUAACGCAACAGAUAUUUAGUGAAAAUCACCAAAGUUCUCAGCAAAGUGCUAAGUCGUUUUGUGGUUAAUUCUCCUAAUACUCUGAAAUCUUUAUUGAUUUUCAACCUUUUGCAUUGGGGGGACAAGCUCUUCCCGAGCUUCACUGAAUUCAUCAAUUGUUUGCAAAUAUCUGUGUCAUUAAAAUAUUGAGAAAUAUACACGAUGAAUCAGUCACUCACCUGGAGCAGAAAUAACCAUUUAUUCUGCAAAUGAAUGUUAACCCUAUAAGUACUGCAUCUGAACAGAUAAUGAUAAUGAUAGCUAUUUAGUAAUUAUAAUGUAUCAGGCCCUAUUGUAACACUUUAUUUCAAUCAUUUAUUUGCCUCACAAUAAUCCUGUGAAUCACCAAUACUAUGCCCAUUUGUAGAAUAGGAAGUGGAGGCAAACAGAGAUAAAAUCACUUGCCCAGGAUAGGGCAACUAACUUACACAGCCAGAAUUUAAAGUGAGGAAGUCUCUUUACUCAGGUUUCUAAGCUCCCCUACACUUAAGACCUGCACUGCCUGCUGAAGGAACAGUCUGACUCCAGUGACCACCACUUGGACAAUUGGUUCUGCUUCCCCAUAACAAUAACAUACACAGUUACCAAGAAUUCCUCUUAGUGGCAGGUCUACUGGCUCCAGCUGAGUUUGUGUCUUUGUUGUCACCAACCACUCAAAUGGCAGAUCCCAGCACCUUUUUCAUUCUGUUCUAUUGGUAAAGUCCUGGGCCAUGAUGGCCCUGGCUGGUUUGGUUGAAAUCUUGCAUCACUGAAUAUAUCCUAGGAAGUUGGGAUGGCUAAGAUAGGACAGGACUUUCUUCCCAGAACUUCUCUGAGACACCUGGUGUAUUGUGCCUUGUCCAGUGGUCUUCAUGUCAGACAGAUAUUCUGAUAAAAUACCCAGCUAAGAUUGAUGCAAUAUGGGAAUUCCCCACCUUAUCCUGGACAUGAAAGAGCAGCACACCAGUUUAGCUGGCCACCAAAACCUACAAGAAUGAUCUUGCAGAAAUAGAAAUUGCACUUCUUCUAAUGUUUGAAAAGUGGGAAUCUGAAGAUCAAACUCUGGAAAAUGGGGUAUUUCACUUAUAAACAGAUGAGAAGAGACUAUUUAUUAAUGUAAUUGCCAGACAGCAAAUGACAGAAUUGUGCCAUUGUCCUUAUUAAGAACAGAGGACACUUUAUAUAUUACAACUAAAAAUAAAACAGAUCAUCACAGAAAUCAGUGAUGCACAAGCCAAGUUACUUCUCAGCUAAUUGAAUAAAACAAAUCAGUCCAAUGAAAACACUGGUAUGACAUUUAAGAUUUGAGCUUUGUUGAUUUUGCCAACACUUUACAUUCUUCUGAAGAUUUGUUGGCUCCACCACCUGGCCUAGCUACUGAACCUGUGUCAGCCAGAAGGAUGGGAGAAUGAAUCAAAUAAAUGAGACAAUGUAGGCAGUGUCCAAAUGGGUAUCUAACUCUCCCUCCUUGAAAAAUGCUGAGUUACACAAAUGACAAGACACAAAUCACCCGACUCUGCUGGAAGAGAAGUAGGAUAGUGUGAAGCAUUUUAGAAAUCCUUCUUGCCAUAUUUUCUUUAUUCACAUUUUGCCACUUGAAAGGAAACAUUCAUGUUAUCUGAAAGUUCACUUAUGGAGAAUAUCUUUUUUUCUUAAACACAACAUACAUAUUAAUUAUCAAUCAAUGACAUCUUAAUUCUUUGCCAUUUUGAUCUUGAUGUACAUAAUUCUGAAUGGAUUAUUUAACAUAUACCCCAUUCUCAAGGUGUACAUUUUCCUGUCCUACUUUUAAAGAGUAAAUAAUUUUGCUUUCCAAAGAGCAGAGGGCAAGGUAGCUGGAGAGGUCAUUAUUUAAAGAGAACAGAAUAGGGAGUUUCCCUUGUGGCUCAGCAGUAAUGAACCCAAGUAAUAUCCAUGAGGAUGCAGGUUUGAUCCCUAGUUCCAAUCAGUGGGUUAUGGAUCUGGCAUUGCUGUGAGCUGUGGUGUAGGUUGUAGAUGCAGCUCAGAUCUGGCGUUGCUGUGGCUGUGGUGUAGGCCCCCAGCUGUGGCUCAGAUUAGACCCCUAGCCUGGAAAUUUCCAUAUGCCACAGGUGUGGCCCUAAAAAGACAAAAAUAAAUAAAUCAGAGUAAGUAAACACUACAGCAAAAUAAAUGUACAAACAUUGUUCGAAUUGCUUUAGAUGCGUUUACAAGGUCUUGGAGUAUAUCUCCAAGGAUGCUAAAAAGCACAAGUUACAGAAAAAUUUAUCUAAAUAUUUUUUCUUUAAAGUUCCCAUAACUUUAUUAUUUAAAAUAUCUGGCAAAAAACUAAUCAUGUAUAUGGAUGUGAUAUAUAUUAUGUCCAUACUUCUAGACAAAUAUUUACACAUUUAUAAUAUGUAUAAAUAUUUAUCUGUACUUAAAAUUCAUGUUUUUUCACCACCCAUAGAAAAUCUGGCAUUCCGACUAAAACCUGGAAACAUCUGCAAAGUAAUAUAAACUGGAAAAGAAGUAUAAAUUAGGUUUAGUGAAUAUUUUAGGCACCAUGACUGUUACAUGAUAUUUUAACAUCACAUAUUACCUUCAACAGGUUUUAAGUUAAAGUUAGUAGAAGUUAUAACUUGAUGCAAAUGUGUGGUAAACUCUGAAGUUAUAAAAAUUUACUUAGAAAAUUAUUUUAAUGAUUUUAUUUUUUCUAUUAAUUUUUCUAUGAACAAAUAAAAAUUCAAAUUAAUUCAGAUGGUAAAAAUUCAAUUUAUUCCAUUAUAUUGAGGUAGUAAAGACUAGUUUUUCUGUAAUUUUUUAUAUUGAUCUAGUGUAUAUGAUUACUCUAAAUCUAAAAGAAAAAAACAUUUGGUUAUACUUCAUUAACUCCUGAAAAACACAAUUCUGAUAAUUAUACAUUUCAUCAUGAAAAAAAAUCACAAAAUACUUUUUAACUUACCACAUAAGCUACAUUUGAUAAUUUUAAAAGCAUAUCAAUGAAAAGCUAGGAAAAUACAGAACAUUUAAAGAAAACAAAUAAGUCGUAAACAUAUCUUCUAAAUAGUUUUCAAUAUUUAUGGAACAGUGUAAUGUUAAAAAAUGUGGGUUCUGGCACUGGAUAACCUAAGUUAAAUUCUUAGCUCUUUUACUAAUUAUCUGAUAGAUAUGUGCUUCUUUGAGAUUAUAUAUUUGUAAAAAAGGCAUAAUAAAACUCACUUUCAUGAACAUCAUAAACUCCCUUUUGUGUCACUGGGUCUAUCUUUGUUUCUGCCUAUUGUCAUGGUGUCUUGUCUAGUUUGGCACAUUUGAAAUGGGUUUUUUAACAAAGAUUAUUAGUAAUAAUUACAAUGAAACAAUGUUUAAUGGUUUGCAUUUUCUGCAUACAAAUAAACUUUGUACUUCGGGUUUCUGCAUGGCUUUUCUAGUGCCUUGUGAGAUAUACACACCAAGAACAGUUCUUUCCUUAACACGUGGCCAAAUGUGGAUGACCCAUCCUAACCCACAUCUCUUUUUCCUGCCCCCUCUAAAUGCUCUGUGCUUUAAAGGAAACCAUGCUCCUGCAGACAGUGAUCCUGCAACCCAUGUAGCAACUUUCAGAGAAAUUAAACAACCAGGAGUGGUCAGUGCGAAAAAUGUGAAAUCUAUAUGUGUUUUAUUGCUUGGUUACACAACUUAAUAAUUCCCAUAAACUAUUUGCCAUUAAUAAGUUAAGCAUUUGCAUGUCCAAUAAAAAUUAAAUAUUAAAUUUCUAUUAAGAAAUGUGAUGGAUAUAAAACUUGCAUAAAUAUUUGCCUUGUAUAUACCAUGGGUUUGAUAGUAAUGUAACAUAGAAAAUGGAAGACAAACAUUUAUGGGAGAGGCAUUAAUAUCUACUUAACAGUUACCAGUUAGUUUUGAGAAGAUUAUGCCCCAAGACUAUAUUUAAUAUAUGCAUCCACAAAAUAUAUAUUUACAUACAGCUCUCUAAGACUAUAUUUUACAAAAUAAUUACUUCUAAAUGUAAUGCACUUUUUUAUUUUAUGAUUUCUGAUAUGCAUAGAAAUGGUGAAGCAUUGGGAGUUAAUUAUUAACUCUAUAAUGGAAAAAGUCAAUCCCAGUUAAAUAAUCAAAUUCACAGUCAAGACUUGCAUGGCUCUCAGAGUGAAAGUCUCCUUAGAAGUUAUGCCCUAAAAUACUUCACUUGCCUCACACUGGUUCCAGCACUGGUUGCUAUACUCUUCAAAUUAAAAAAUGCUAAUUCCACUAAGAGUUCAAUAUUUUCAUUCAGAGCAUG
This 5747-nucleotide long non-coding RNA is filed under the name Sus scrofa (pig). RNAcentral's name for it is "lncRNA (ENSSSCG00000059372.1)". The record is from RNAcentral. Lineage: Eukaryota; Metazoa; Chordata; Mammalia; Artiodactyla; Suidae.